GCUAGUUGGUAAGGUAACGGCUUACCAAGGCGACGAUGUUUAGGGGACCUGAGAGGGUUGUCCCCCACACUGGUACUGAGACACGGACCAGACUCCUACGGGAGGCAGCAGUGAGGAAUAUUGGUCAAUGGGCGCAAGCCUGAACCAGCCAUCCCGCGUGAAGGAAGAAUGCGCUACGCGUUGUAAACUUCUUUUCCAGGGGGAGAAUAAUCCUGUCGUGACAGGACUUGACGGUACUCUGGGAAUAAGCAUCGGCUAACUCCGUGCCAGCAGCCGCGGUAAUACGGAGGAUGCGAGCGUUAUCCGGAUUUAUUGGGUUUAAAGGGUGCGUAGGCGGAUUGAUAAGUCAGUGGUGAAAUUCUACAGCUUAACUGUAGACUUGCCGUUGAUACUGUUAGUCUUGAGUGUGGUCAAGGCAGGCGGAAUGUGUAAUGUAGCGGUGAAAUGCUUAGAUAUUACACAGAACACCGAUUGCGAAGGCAGCUUGCUGGGUCAUUACUGACGCUGAUGCACGAAAGCGUGGGGAUCAAACAGGAUUGGAUACCCUGGUAGUCCACGCCGUAAACGAUGUCAACUAGUUGUUGGGUUCCUUGAGGACUUAGUAAC
This 606-nucleotide ribosomal RNA is filed under the name uncultured bacterium. Its description in RNAcentral is "bacterial SSU rRNA". It matches the Rfam family "Bacterial small subunit ribosomal RNA", at positions 244 to 847 of the family's 1533-position model. The record is from RNAcentral.